UGGGGAAUAUUGCACAAUGGGCGCAAGCCUGAUGCAGCCAUGCCGCGUGUAUGAAGAAGGCCUUCGGGUUGUAAAGUACUUUCAGCGGGGAGGAAGGGAGUAAAGUUAAUACCUUUGCUCAUUGACGUUACCCGCAGAAGAAGCACCGGCUAACUCCGUGCCAGCAGCCGCGGUAAUACGGAGGGUGCAAGCGUUAAUCGGAAUUACUGGGCGUAAAGCGCACGCAGGCGGCUUGUUAAGUCAGAUGUGAAAUCCCCGGGCUCAACCUGGGAACUGCAUCUGAUACUGGCAAGCUUGAGUCUCGUAGAGGGGGGUAGAAUUCCAGGUGUAGCGGUGAAAUGCGUAGAGAUCUGGAGGAAUACCGGUGGCGAAGGCGGCCCCCUGGACGAAGACUGACGCUCAGGUGCGAAAGCGUGGGGAGCAAACAGG
Molecule: ribosomal RNA, 429 nt
Filed under: Chloroflexota bacterium
Lineage: Bacteria; Bacillati; Chloroflexota
Description: Chloroflexi bacterium partial 16S ribosomal RNA
Rfam family: Bacterial small subunit ribosomal RNA
Source: RNAcentral